This 164-nucleotide ribosomal RNA is filed under the name uncultured bacterium. Its description in RNAcentral is "partial 16S rRNA". It matches the Rfam family "Bacterial small subunit ribosomal RNA", at positions 355 to 511 of the family's 1533-position model. The record is from RNAcentral.
UAGGGAAUCUUCCACAAUGGACGCAAGUCUGAUGGAGCAACGCCGCGUGAGUGAAGAAGGUCUUCGGAUCGUAAAACUCUGCUGUUAGAGAAGAACACGAGUGAGAGUAACUGUUCAUUCGAUGACGGUAUCUAACCAGCAAGUCACGGCUAACUACGUGCCAG